This 706-nucleotide long non-coding RNA is filed under the name Androctonus crassicauda. The record is from RNAcentral. Lineage: Eukaryota; Metazoa; Arthropoda; Arachnida; Scorpiones; Buthidae.
GCUGGAUGUAUAUAUAGCUGGAUUUAUAUUAUUGUAUAGCAUUUUCGAACAGAAUUUCUGGUAGUAACGAAACUACGCUCGUCCGAAUUUUCUUCUAGAACCCAUUUUUGGAUUGCUCUCAACGUUCGAUUCGAUUAAAAUUAGCAGUGAUUUAAAUCGAAUUACAUAUUCGUAUACAGUUGCAAAAUAUGGAUCCUACUGUAAUCGCUACUGCUGGUUGUGCAAUAGGAAGUGCUAUUGUAGCACCUUAUGCUCUUCCAGCAGUCCUUGGAUAUGCAGGAUUUACUUCUGCAGGUGUGGCUGCCGGUCCUCUGGCCGCCACAAUACAGUCGUCAGUGUAUGGUGCAGCAGUUAGUUCUGGAAGUCUAUUUGCUAUAGCACAGAGUAUCGGUGCUGCUGGAUUAGGUGCUGCUGGAACGAUUGCCAGUAGUGGCAUCGGUGCGGUUGUUGGGUUUUUUGCUUAUAAAUAAAUAUACUGAUGAACUGAUGAAUAUAAUCAACUGAUACUAAUAAACUUAAUGUAAUAAAAAUUGUUAUUAAUUUAUUUAGUCAACAUAUACAGUACAAUGGAAUAUAUUGAUUAUAAUAAUAAAUGUGAAUAUUGAUAUUUAACAAAUAGUUUUAAAUCAUUACAUUAUUGAAAUUUACUUGGGAUAAAUUUACAUUGAUGGCACUAACCUUGCUAAAGAAAUUUGUUAUUUGUGCC